CCUACGGGAGGCAGCAGUGGGGAAUAUUGCACAAUGGGCGCAAGCCUGAUGCAGCAACGCCGCGUGAGGGACGACGGCCUUCGGGUUGUAAACCUCUUUUAGUAGGGAAGAAGCGAAAGUGACGGUACCUGCAGAAAAAGCACCGGCUAACUACGUGCCAGCAGCCGCGGUAAUACGUAGGGUGCAAGCGUUAUCCGGAAUUAUUGGGCGUAAAGAGCUCGUAGGCGGUUUGUCACGUCUGCUGUGAAAACUGGAGGCUCAACCUCCAGCCUGCAGUGGGUACGGGCAGACUAGAGUGCGGUAGGGGAGAUUGGAAUUCCUGGUGUAGCGGUGGAAUGCGCAGAUAUCAGGAGGAACACCGAUGGCGAAGGCAGAUCUCUGGGCCGUAACUGACGCUGAGGAGCGAAAGCAUGGGGAGCGAACAGGAUUAGAUACCCUGGUAGUCCAUGCCGUAAACGUUGGGAACUAGAUGUAGGGACCAUUCCACGGUUUCUGUGUCGCAGCUAACGCAUUAAGUUCCCCGCCUGGGGAGUACGGCCGCAAGGCUAAAACUUAAAGGAAUUGACGG
This 568-nucleotide ribosomal RNA is filed under the name uncultured bacterium. RNAcentral describes it as "bacterial SSU rRNA". It matches the Rfam family "Bacterial small subunit ribosomal RNA", at positions 338 to 916 of the family's 1533-position model. The record is from RNAcentral.